GAUGAACGCUAGCUACAGGCUUAACACAUGCAAGUCGAGGGGCAGCAUGGUCUUAGCUUGCUAAGGCCGAUGGCGACCGGCGCACGGGUGAGUAACACGUAUCCAACCUGCCGUCUACUCUUGGACAGCCUUCUGAAAGGAAGAUUAAUACAAGAUGGCAUCAUGAGUCCACAUGUUCACAUGAUUAAAGGUAUUCCGGUAGACGAUGGGGAUGCGUUCCAUUAGAUAGUAGGCGGGGUAACGGCCCACCUAGUCUUCGAUGGAUAGGGGUUCUGAGAGGAAGGUCCCCCACAUUGGAACUGAGACACGGUCCAAACUCCUACGGGAGGCAGCAGUGAGGAAUAUUGGUCAAUGGGCGAGAGCCUGAACCAGCCAAGUAGCGUGAAGGAUGACUGCCCUAUGGGUUGUAAACUUCUUUUAUAAAGGAAUAAAGUCGGGUAUGCAUACCCGUUUGCAUGUACUUUAUGAAUAAGGAUCGGCUAACUCCGUGCCAGCAGCCGCGGUAAUACGGAGGAUCCGAGCGUUAUCCGGAUUUAUUGGGUUUAAAGGGAGCGUAGAUGGAUGUUUAAGUCAGUUGUGAAAGUUUGCGGCUCAACCGUAAAAUUGCAGUUGAUACUGGAUAUCUUGAGUGCAGUUGAGGCAGGCGGAAUUCGUGGUGUAGCGGUGAAAUGCUUAGAUAUCACGAAGAACUCCGAUUGCGAAGGCAGCCUGCUAAGCUGCAACUGACAUUGAGGCUCGAAAGUGUGGGUAUCAAACAGGAUUAGAUACCCUGGUAGUCCACACGGUAAACGAUGAAUACUCGCUGUUUGCGAUAUACAGCAAGCGGCCAAGCGAAAGCGUUAAGUAUUCCACCUGGGGAGUACGCUGGCAACGGUGAAACUCAAAGGAAUUGACGGGGGCCCGCACAAGCGGAGGAACAUGUGGUCUAAUUCGAUGAUACGCGAGGAACCUUACCCGGGCUUAAAUUGCAGAUGAAUUACGGUGAAAGCCGUAAGCCGCAAGGCAUCUGUGAAGGUGCUGCAUGGUUGUCGUCAGCUCGUGCCGUGAGGUGUCGGCUUAAGUGCCAUAACGAGCGCAACCCUUGUUGUCAGUUACUAACAGGUCAUGCUGAGGACUCUGACAAGACUGCCAUCGUAAGAUGUGAGGAAGGUGGGGAUGACGUCAAAUCAGCACGGCCCUUACGUCCGGGGCUACACACGUGUUACAAUGGGGGGUACAGAGGGCCGCUACCACGCGAGUGGAUGCCAAUCCCAAAAACCUCUCUCAGUUCGGACUGGAGUCUGCAACCCGACUCCACGAAGCUGGAUUCGCUAGUAAUCGCGCAUCAGCCACGGCGCGGUGAAUACGUUCCCGGGCCUUGUACACACCGCCCGUCAAGCCAUGGGAGCCGGGGGUACCUGAAGUGCGUAACCGCGAGGAGCGCCCUAGGGUAAAAC
This 1436-nucleotide ribosomal RNA is filed under the name uncultured organism. Its description in RNAcentral is "16S ribosomal RNA". It matches the Rfam family "Bacterial small subunit ribosomal RNA". The record is from RNAcentral.